RNAcentral lists this long non-coding RNA (2834 nucleotides) under Mus musculus (house mouse). Its description in RNAcentral is "long non-coding RNA chr2:92238905-92241739". Lineage: Eukaryota; Metazoa; Chordata; Mammalia; Rodentia; Muridae. The record is from RNAcentral.
UUUUUUUUUCUCACUAUAGUGAGACCCCAUCUAAAAAAAAAAAAAAAAUCAAUCCUAUGCUUAUAAUAACAUAAUUUGAGCCAAGUCACUGUAUUAAUUGGCUUCAUGCUACUAUAUUGAAAUUCCUGAGGUAAUUAAUAAAGAAUUUUAUAGGUUCAGAGUCUAAGAGCAGAUCGCCCUAUGCUAUUCACUGUAGUAAAGGCAGAACAUCCUAGCAGGAGCAAAAAGCAUUACAAACUGCUCUUAUCACAAGGCAAGAAGCAGAGAGAGAACAAGACUGGGUCUUAGUGACGCCAAUAAGGCCCUACAUUCUGAAGACUCGUAUCUUCUUCCAAUAGGGCUAUCACCUUGAGGACCAGGCCUUUGCAUGAGCCUUUUGGGUACACUUUAGUUUUCAUGCCACGGGUGAUAGAUAGUAAGUGACUUGACAAUGGUAAGUAGAUAGGAAUAGGCCUAGGAGUUUAUUUCUAGUGGGGUAGUGGUUAAGGUUUUAUAUUUAAACCAUUUAGUGUAUCUACUUCCUUACGUAUGGGAGGUUUGUACAGCAGUGCCUUUAGCAGUUAAUGAACAUGUGUCUGUUGAGUGCAUCCAAUUUUGGGGAACGUGAAUUCUGUUUAGAUAGGAAUUGCUGCCUUUAGUUGUACCACUCACUUUAUCUGUGUGACUCCUUCAUCCUUAUGUGAAGCACUGACUUCUGAGGAGCUAGAGCAUCCACAUGUAACUCAGGCAUGAGUGCAUCUUUGUAGUACACACACUGGGUCAUUGCUUUUGCAGUAUAGCCUUCACUGAUGUCAAUGUCCUCUUCAUUCAGUUCUAGGGAGUGAAUUACUUUCUAGGAUUUUAUAUGUUAAAUGUUUUUGGAAAUAGGACAUUAAGCAGAAUAGUUAUCAUUUCUUAAGUUCUCAUUGAUUUGUGGUUACUGUGUUCUAAUACUGGUUGCCUGACACUUGACUAUCUCUGGUUUGAACUGGUACCCUUAGAAUGUUCUCUCUCUCAUAAUUUGGCUAGUAAGAUUGGCUAAUCUUUUUAGCACAAUUUAUAACUGCUAUUUUCUUAGAGAUCCUAUUAUUAAGACUAGAGACUUAUCUUCUUAUUUACCCAAAGCUUACGCAUUCCGUGAAUAUCAGUCCAGUUCAUGUUGCCUAUGUAAUAUUUAUGUGAAACUACUUGGCCAUUUGUUACUGCCACUUGGACAUCAGAGCCUAUUCCUUUGCAUCUAAUGCAGAAAAUACAAUAUUUCAGAUUUUUUCUGGGGAAAUCUUACUUGUUUAUUUGGGCAGAGAUGGAGGAAGGACUUAAAUACUAGCAAAGGAUGUGAAGGUUUUAAGAGCAAGGUUUCAUGUGUGUGACAUGGUUUAGUUCCCAUUGCUGUGUUAGCUAGCCCAUGCUUUUCCCUUUGAUUCUUGUAGUAUAGUUGCCAGUAUUUUUUACUUGUCUGGUUAAAUAUUUGAUAUCUUUAAGAGAGAAGCUUUGUUGAGUAAUGAUGCUAUCAUUGCACCAGAGUACGGCAGAGGAAAUGAAGGCAGUCAGUGACUGGAUACUGCCCUCUAACAACAAUGUUGUGGAGGAACACCCUUUGUCCUCUCAAGAGCUUGUUCCAGUGCUGGCAAUGGAACUGAAAGUUCAACUUGAAAUUCUUAUCCCUCAUAUGAGGCGUGUUAUAUGUUGACAGAAGCAGCUAUACUCUACAGUAUGUUCUUUGCCUCUUUGCUGGGCUCCUCCUUAGCUUGGAGCAGUUGCUUCAAGCCAGUGAAACCUAAGCUAGUGCCUAUUCUGGUGGAACUGUUUUCAAGAACCUGGAUCUGUCUAGAUCUUUCAUGGACUGGUGACUCUUGUAUUUCAAAGUGUUUAGGGAUUCUGGCUCUUAGGACAACAUUAUUCUAAUUUUGGUUGAAUAGUAGUGUAUAUCAGAGGCUUUACAGGGGCCAGUGUGACUCUGACUCCACCUUACAACUAUAUUAGGAACUUAAUUUGUGUGUUUGAUUUUCUCCAUUUAUUAUGUUUUCACUAGGAGCUGUCCUUUUUUCUUAUGCAACACCCUCCUCCCCUACAACUUACACAUACUUGUGGGGCCUCAAACUCUCUUGUAGCUAAGUGUGACCUUGAACUUCUGACUCUCCAUGACUCACCUUUCCAAGCACUGCAAAUGCAGGCAUACACCACCAGGCUAAUCUACUUUCUGAAACUUUCCAAGAAUCUGAUGCACCUGUUUAAUCCACGUGAAUUUAUAGAGAGAUUACUGUGGAGAAAGGCAUGGCACCCCAGGAAGGGCUGAGAAUGAAAAUCUUAGUAUCGCUCCCAUAAGAUUGGUCCCUGUAAGGCAUGGAAGCUCAUUAGUACGGACACUUGAGCAGUUCUUUCUCUUUGCUCAUCUUAUAUCCCUCUCUUCCACUCACUCCCUGUAAGCCCCCAGUGUCAGUCUUUUCUCUCAGACCUCAUGCUUUCUGCAACUGUAUUUUUCCCUUCUUUGCCUGGCACAUUCCUGUUUACUUUUUGGGGACCCUUUUGAUAGUCCUCUAGAGAACUUUCCGUGGCUUCUCUCCACCCUCCUCUAGGCAUAGCACACGUGCCUCUUGGUUUGGUUCAUACUACAGUACUUUCUUGUAACCAUUGAGUCAUUGUGGUCAUCAGUAAGGUCGGUAGGGCAAGAGCUGUUGUCUUAGUAACAUCUGUACUCAUGAACUCUAGCAUGGUGUGCAAGAAGAAGGUAUGCUUGAAUAUGUUAAUUCAUUAAGCAUUCAGAAGGGUAAUGAGGUAUCCAAGCAUGUCCAUAUCAUGGAGGUUGACCAUUGAAAGAUUCCCUUUCAGAUUGCCUCAUUUCUUCCUUUCUAUGU